CACGCCGUAAACGCUGAUUACUAGGUGUAGGGGGUAUAGACUCCCUCUGUGCCGCAGUUAACGCAUUAAGUAAUCCACCUGGGGAGUACGGCCGCAAGGUUAAAACUCAAAGGAAUUGACGGGGGCCCGCACAAGCAGUGGAGUAUGUGGUUUAAUUCGAAGCAACGCGAAGAACCUUACCAGGUCUUGACAUCCUUUGCACGUUUUAGAGAUAGAACAUUCCCUUCGGGGACAAAGAGACAGGUGG
This 247-nucleotide ribosomal RNA is filed under the name uncultured Oscillospiraceae bacterium. RNAcentral's name for it is "partial 16S ribosomal RNA". It matches the Rfam family "Bacterial small subunit ribosomal RNA", at positions 796 to 1041 of the family's 1533-position model. The record is from RNAcentral. Lineage: Bacteria; Bacillati; Bacillota; Clostridia; Eubacteriales; Oscillospiraceae.